Long non-coding RNA from Epinephelus fuscoguttatus (brown-marbled grouper), 455 nucleotides. RefSeq lists it as uncharacterized. The record is from RefSeq and is a predicted model, not a curated record. Lineage: Eukaryota; Metazoa; Chordata; Actinopteri; Perciformes; Serranidae. The transcript is spliced from 2 exons.
AUUAUAAAAAUGAUAUCAUGAAAUUUGUUUUAACUCAAAUAUUAUCAGUGUCAAAGGUCUGUUUUAUGUUUUUUGAUAUUCUGUCUUUAAACUGAAAUGAUAUAAAAAAUGAUAUCAUGAGAUUUGUUUUAACUCAGAUAUUAUCAGCCUCAAAGACCUGUUUUAUGCUUUUUGAUAUUCUGUCUUUAUACAGUUUUUAAGAAAAUCACACUUGAGAUUUUGAUUUCUUCCUCUCUUUUUUUUUAGAAAUACAUUGCAUUUAAAAACAAUUGUACAAUAUUGGAUAUUGUGAAAUCUGUCUUUGGCUGAAUACCACUGUCUUGGUAAUGUCUCGUUAAAAUGAGAGUUGGGAUUUUGAAGGAAUCUAGCCUGGUAAAAUAUGUUCUGGAAAAAAAAAUUAUAAUAAAUAAAUAAUGAUUGUUUUAAUUAUCCAAUAAAUUGAUUUUCUGAUUGGA